GGUCCGUUGGUCAAGGGGUUAAGACACCGCCUUUUCACGGCGGUAACAUGGGUUCGAAUCCCGUACGGACUA
This 72-nucleotide transfer RNA is filed under the name Streptococcus agalactiae. RNAcentral's name for it is "tRNA-Glu". It matches the Rfam family "tRNA". From Rfam's summary of the family: Transfer RNA (tRNA) molecules are approximately 80 nucleotides in length. Their secondary structure includes four short double-helical elements and three loops (D, anti-codon, and T loops). The record is from RNAcentral. RNAcentral also lists the same sequence under 3 other names. Lineage: Bacteria; Bacillati; Bacillota; Bacilli; Lactobacillales; Streptococcaceae.